UCACAAUCCACUGCCUUGAUCCACUUGGCUACAUCCGCCCC
This 41-nucleotide transfer RNA is filed under the name Myrtaceae sp. ITV3724. Its description in RNAcentral is "partial tRNA-His". The record is from RNAcentral. Lineage: Eukaryota; Viridiplantae; Streptophyta; Magnoliopsida; Myrtales; Myrtaceae.